This 305-nucleotide ribosomal RNA is filed under the name uncultured bacterium. Its description in RNAcentral is "bacterial SSU rRNA". It matches the Rfam family "Bacterial small subunit ribosomal RNA", at positions 334 to 658 of the family's 1533-position model. The record is from RNAcentral.
UAGCCUACGGGGCGCAGCAGUGGGGAAUAUUGCACAAUGGGGGAAACCCUGAUGCAGCAACGCCGCGUGAGUGAAGAAGUCAUUCGUGAUGUAAAGCUCUAUCAGCAGGGAAGAAAAUGACGGUACCUGAGUAAGAAGUCCCGGCUAACUACGUGCCAGCAGCCGCGGUAAUACGGAGGAUGCGAGCGUUAUCCGGAUUUAUUGGGUUUAAAGGGUGCGCAGGCGGGAGAUCAAGUCAGCGGUAAAAUGUCGGGGCUCAACCCCGGCCGGCCGUUGAAACUGGUUUUCUAGAGUUGGAGAGAAGG